Molecule: long non-coding RNA, 1656 nt
Organism: Gossypium raimondii (Peruvian cotton)
Lineage: Eukaryota; Viridiplantae; Streptophyta; Magnoliopsida; Malvales; Malvaceae
Exons: 2
Source: RefSeq, a predicted model, not a curated record
CAGUGCUCCGGCUGCCUAGAGUUAGAAUCGCCUUCAUCACUCACUUUUCUUUUCGAUAAAAAUUCAAUGGAAUCAAACUUUGUUUUCACUUUCAUUGUUUUUAUGUCUUUGUUUUGAAGUACCGGUUUUUACUUCUUUCGGAAAACAAUAUGUUUAAAAAAUAGAGGGCGAUGAAGAAGUUAUAUCAAGGUUCGCUCGUCGUACGUAAUGGCAAAAAAUUGCCUUGUCGAUUAUUUCUUGAUGCUAUGAGCCCUCUCUAUUUGUUAACGCACGUUUUCCCGUGUUUGUUUUUAUUUCGAUUUUUGACUUGAUGAUGAUGAAAACAUCAAAGGUUCGCUCGUCAUACAAGAUGGCUUAUUUGUCUUGUUGAUUCAUUCGUCUUGAUGAUCUGAAUCCUCUUUUAUCGACUUUUUUGCCUUAUGCCUCCACAAUUAAGGAAAUCAAAAUUGUCAAUCAAGUCCAUUUUUGCUGAGAAAAUGAUUUAGUAUAUAUUUUUAAUCUACGAGUCAAACUAAAAUGGGUAUGAAGUUUUUUUGUUGGCAGGUUAAGGUUUAAAAUUCAAGCCUUUACAAUUAAUUUGUAAGGUCUUCAAAGAUCACGUGUGGUAGACAUGCAAAGGCUAUUUUGGUGAUUUCCUUCUUUCUAGUCACAUCUCAUUUUUCUUUCAUAAAACAUUAAAAAAAUUUAUUUGAAAUUUUUUAACAUUUAUUAUUUUAAAUGUAUUUCAUAAUUAUUUUAAUUUUAUUUAAUAUAAAAUUUUUAACUAUUGAAUAACAUAAAUAGGUAAAUUAACUGUAAAAAACAUUAAAUGAAUUUUAUUUUAUUAAAAUUAAAAUAAAUUAUCUUUUUUAUUAAAAAAUUAAAAUAUUUAAAUUAGCAUAUUUAUUAAUCAGUUUUUUAAAGGUGGUGUGGCAGUUAGGGAUGUAAAAAUUUUAAACCAAGAGUUAGCUUGGGCGAUUUUGAAACUUAAAAAGAAAAUUUUUGCUGCUUGUUGCUAUACUCAAGCUUGAUUAGAGUGCAUAUUUGUAUGUGAUAUGGAGACAAAAGAACAAGAGGUAUUUUAACACAUCUUUCUUGACUAAAGAUGCUAUCUUUGGUGCAAAUUAAAGAGAUUGUGCGAGCUCGUUUAAGAGAAAGACCAAUCAAUAGAACUAAUCUUAUUAAUACUUCAUUUUGUACUUCUUAAAGUAUUAUCGGUUAAUUUGUUUGUAUAGCUUAAAAUUAUUGUACAAUUUUUUUUUUCUUUUGUAACAAUUUAACUGCUUUUUUGAAUUAAUGAAUUUCAUCAUUCAUUAAAAAAAAAUAUUGUUAUGGUAACAUAUUUUACAAAAGUUCAAUGGUUUUGGGAGAAACUAUAUAAUUUUAGAGAUGAAAUGAGUUGGUUAUCAAAAUUCAGCUCCCAAGGAUGAUUAAAGAAAAGAAAGAAAGUGAUGGUGGAAAGCAACAUCACAGAUGCACUAACUAGAGCAAGAGAAGUAUUACUACAUUUACAACAUACAUAAGUAGAGUUGGUGUCUGAAACCCCUUUACACGAGCACAUCGCUUCGGAAACAGAUGUAAUAUACAUCAGUAGCCUGCGCACGUUUGUUAUAUAUUCUCUUUCACUAGCUAUUACUAUUAGUAUUGAAGUUCAUUAACCCUCAGUUUUACCCAUCA